CCUACGGGAGGCAGCAGUAGGGAAUCUUCCACAAUGGGCGAAAGCCUGAUGGAGCAACGCCGCGUGGGUGAAGAAGGUCUUCGGAUCGUAAAACUCUGUUGUUAGAGAAGAAAGUGCGUGAGAGUAACUGCUCACGUUUUGACGGUAUCUAACCAGAAAGCCACGGCUAACUACGUGCCAGCAGCCGCGGUAAUACGUAGGUGGCAAGCGUUAUCCGGAUUUAUUGGGCGUAAAGCGAACGCAGGCGGUCUUUUAAGUCUGAUGUGAAAGCCUUCGGCUUAACCGGGGAAGUGCAUUGGAAACUGGGAGACUUGAGUGCAGAAGAGGAGAGUGGAACUCCAUGUGUAGCGGUGAAAUGCGUAGAUAUAUGGAGGAACACCAGUGGCGAAGGCGGCUCUCUGGUCUGUAACUGACGCUGAGGUUCGAAAGCGUGGGGAGCAAACAGGAUUAGAUACCCGAGUAGUC
This 465-nucleotide ribosomal RNA is filed under the name uncultured bacterium. RNAcentral describes it as "partial 16S ribosomal RNA". It matches the Rfam family "Bacterial small subunit ribosomal RNA", at positions 338 to 795 of the family's 1533-position model. The record is from RNAcentral.